GUCCCUCAAUUUCUUAUUAAAGCCUUUUCUUUGAAUUGUUACCAUCAAUAAUUUGAACAAUUAUUUAAUAAAAAAAUUGAAUGAAGAAUUUGUAAUAUGAACUAUAUUUAUAUGAUCAAGUACAAAUAGCAUGUUCCUUAGCUAUUUGCUGUUUGUUUCUGGUACAGGGAAUUGAACCCAGAGCAUUUUGCCACAAAGUUACAUCUCAAUUCUUUUUGUUUUCAGACAGGGUCUUGCUAAGUUGCUCUGGCUGGCCUUGAAAUUGUAAUACUUCUAUCUCAGUCUGAUUAAACCUUGUCUUUCACUUGAGAAAAUUGUAUUUUCAUAUAUGAGCUGAACAAAAAAUUAUUUUGAGCUACUAUAUACUGAUAUUAUAGAAUCGAUAUAGUUCUUACAUAGUUUACAAUAUUAAAAAAGAUAUAAAACAAUAAUGAGAUGUACUAAAAAACCACAAAUCUUAUCUCUCAAAGUCUAUGCUUUCAUUUCUUCAGGUAUCUUAAGGAGGUAUCUUUCAAAAAGGAUGAGAUAUAUAAAUUAUCCCCACAGUUCUAAGAAGAGCUCAGAAAAAUUUAUGAAGGAUUUAUCUUUGU
RNAcentral lists this long non-coding RNA (590 nucleotides) under Marmota monax (woodchuck). The record is from RNAcentral. Lineage: Eukaryota; Metazoa; Chordata; Mammalia; Rodentia; Sciuridae.